RNAcentral lists this unclassified non-coding RNA (482 nucleotides) under Hevea brasiliensis (rubber tree). The record is from RNAcentral. Lineage: Eukaryota; Viridiplantae; Streptophyta; Magnoliopsida; Malpighiales; Euphorbiaceae.
AACUCAUUCAUAUUUUUCAUAUUAAGCAUUGCGCAGAAAAUCAUCCUCCAUCUAUCGACAUGAUAGUUGAGCUUCUACUCUUGUUCCUCCUGCUCAUUUUCUCUUUCCUCCUCUUCUCUUUCUUUACCACUGGAAGUUCAAAAUCUGAAAAAUCUAUCUCCACCCAUCUCCCAAAAUCUUACCCAUUGAUAGGUUCCUCUUUCGCUAUAAAGGCAAACUUCGACCGACGAGUUCAAUGGACGUCGGAUAUUCUCCAAACUAUACCUUCUGCAACAUUUGUCCUCCACCGCCCUUUGGGCCUUCGCCAGAUCUUCACCGGAAACCCGGCCAAUGUCGAACAUAUACUCAAGACUCACUUCCAGCAUUAUCAGAAAGGACCUUUUACUCGACACACUCUCUUCGACUUCCUUGGCAAUGGUAUCUUCAAUUCCGACGGUGACACUUGGAAGUUUCAGAGGCAAGUUGCCAGCCAUGAAUUCAGC